CCUACGGGAGGCAGCAGUGGGGAAUAUUGCACAAUGGGGGAAACCCUGAUGCAGCAACGCCGCGUGAGUGAAGAAGGCUUUCGGGUUGUAAAGUUCUGUUAUCAGGGAGGAGGAAGGUCGGUACCUGUAGAUGAAGCUACGGCUAACUACGUGCCAGCACCCGCGGUAAUCCGUAGGUGGGAAGCGUUGUGCGGAAAAACUGGGCGAAAAGGUUGCGUAGGCGGAUAAACAAGUGAUAUGUAAAAUAUAUAGGCUAAACCUGUAGAAAACAUAUAAAACUGUUUAACUAGAGAGCAGGAGAGGUAAGUGGAAUUCCUAGUGUAGCAGUGAAAUGCGUAGAGAUUAGAAAGAACACCAGUGGCGAAGGCGACUUACUGGACUGGAACUGACGCUGAGGCAUGAGAGCAUAGGGAGCAAACGGGAUUAGAUACCCGAGUAGUC
Molecule: ribosomal RNA, 441 nt
Filed under: uncultured bacterium
Lineage: Bacteria
Description: partial 16S ribosomal RNA
Rfam family: Bacterial small subunit ribosomal RNA
Source: RNAcentral